AGGUUAAGCUAAUAAGGGCGCACGGAGGAUGCCUAGGCGCCAGGAGCUGAAGAAGGACGCGGCGAACAGCGAAAUUGCCUCGGGGAGCCGUAAGCAGGCUUUGAUCCGGGGAUGUCCGAAUGGGGAAACCCGGCUGGAGUAAUGUCCAGUCACCCAUCACUGAAUACAUAGGUGAUGAGGGAGCACACCAGGGGAACUGAAACAUCUAAGUACCCUGAGGAAGAGAAAACAACAGUGAUUCCGUCAGUAGCGGCGAGCGAAAGCGGAUUAGCCCAAACCAAGGAGCUUGCUCCUUGGGGUUGUGGGACGUCUCACAUGGAGUAAGAAAAGAGCAGGUUAGGCGAAGAGGUCUGGAAAGGCCCGGCAUAGAGGGUAAAAGCCCCGUAGCCGAAAGUCUGCUCUCUCCGAGACGGAUCCCGAGUACCGCGGGACACGUGAAACCCCGUGGGAAUCCGGCAGGACCAUCUGCCAAGGCUAAAUACUCCCUGGCGACCGAUAGCGAAGCAGUACCGUGAGGGAAAGGUGAAAAGCACCGCGGGAGCGGAGUGAAAAAGAACCUGAAACCGUGCGCUUACAAGAAGUCAGAGCCCGAUCUAGGGGUGAUGGCGUGCCUUUUGUAGAAUGAACCGGCGAGUUACGUUUACGUGCGAGGUUAAGUCGGAGAGACGGAGCCGCAGCGAAAGCGAGUCUGAAUAGGGCGMUUCAGUACGUAGGCGUAGACCCGAAACCGUGUGAUCUACCCCUGUGCAGGGUGAAGGUGAGGUAACACUCACUGGAGGCCCGAACUCACAAGCGUUGAAAAGCUUGGGGAUGACGUGGGGGUAGGGGAGAAAUUCCAAUCGAACUCGGAGAUAGCUGGUUCUCCCCGAAAUAGCUUUAGGGCUAGCCUCGAGGUUUAGCAUCAUGGAGGUAGAGCACUGAUUGGGUGCGGGGCCCGCCAAGGGUUACCAAGUCCAGUCAAACUCCGAAUGCCAUGCAUGUAUACUCGGGAGUCAGACAGCGAGUGCUAAGAUCCGUUGUCAAGAGGGAAAGAGCCCAGAUCAUCAGCUAAGGUCCCUAAGUGUGUGUUAAGUGGGAAAGGAUGUGGAGUUGCGAAGACAACCAGGAUGUUGGCUUAGAAGCAGCCACCAUUUAAAGAGUGCGUAAUAGCUCACUGGUCGAGUGACUCUGCGCCGAAAAUGUAACGGGGCUAAACACACCACCGAAGCUAUGGCAUGUCGUAGUCUUCUCUUUGUCAUCGAGCCGUGUGCGGCACCGGGCAUUCAUCGAAAUCAACCUUUAACGGUUAUUCAAGGAUUUCGAUCAAAUGCCCAAGCUAAGCACACCGCCACUCGAAGGCGUAGAGAAGACUACGACUUGGGUAGGGGAGCGUUGAAUGCGGGUUGAAGUCAGACCGRRAGGACUGGUGGACUGCAUUCAAGUGAGAAUGCCGGUAUGAGUAACGAAAAGACAAGUGAGAAUCUUGUCCGCCGAAAGCCUAAGGGUUCCUGAGGAAGGUUCGUCCGCUCAGGGUAAGUCGGGACCUAAGGCGAGGCCGAAAGGCGUAGUCGAAGGACAACAGGUUGAAAUUCCUGUACCACCGUAAGCCGUUAUGAGCGAUGGGGGGACGCAGGAGGGCAAGAACGCGAGCUGAUGGAAUAGCUCGUCCAAGCAGCAAGACUUGUGUGUAGGCAAAUCCGCACACUUUAAGGUCAAGCUGUGAUGGGGAGGGAAAAUUAYAGUACCGAAGGUUCCGUGCUCACGCUGCCGAGAAAAGCCUCUAGCCAGGUGAUGGUGCCCGUACCGCAAACCGACACAGGUAGGCGAGAAGAGAAUUCUAAGGCGCGCGGAAGAACUCUCGUUAAGGAACUCGGCAAAAUGACCCCGUAACUUCGGGAGAAGGGGUGCCUCGGUAGGGUGAAUAGCCCGAGGGGGCCGCAGUGAAUAGGCCCAAGCGRCUGUUUAGCAAAAACACAGGUCUGUGCGAAGCCGUAAGGCGAAGUAUACGGGCUGACGCCUGCCCGGUGCUGGAAGGGUAAGAGGAGCGGUUAGGGGYAACCCGAAGCUGUGAAUUGAAGCCCCAGUCAACGGCGGCCGUAACUAUAACGGUCCUAAGGUAGCGAAAUUCCUUGUCAGGUAAAUUCUGACCCGCACGAAUGGCGUAACGACUUGGGCGCUGUCUCAACGAGAGAUCCGGUGAAAUUUUAGUACCUGUGAAGAUGCAGGUUACCCGCGACGUGACGGAAAGACCCCAUGGAGCUUUACUGUAGCUUGAUAUUGAACUUUGGUACGGUCUGUACAGGAUAGGUGGGAGCCUUUGAAGCCGGAGCGCCAGCUUCGGUGGAGGCGACGUUGGGAUACCACCCUGAUCGUAUCGGAGUUCUAACCUGUCGCCAUGAAACUGGCGAAGGGACCGUGUCAGGCGGACAGUUUGACUGGGGCGGUCGCCUCCUAAAGCGUAACGGAGGCGCCCUAAGGUUCCCUCAGAAUGGUUGGAAAUCAUUCGAAGAGUGCAAAGGCAUAAGGGAGCUUGACUGCGAGACCUACAAGUCGAGCAGGGACGAAAGUCGGGCUUAGUGAUCCGGUGGUACCGAAUGGAAGGGCCAUCGCUCAACGGAUAAAAGCUACCCUGGGGAUAACAGGCUUAUCUCCCCCAAGAGUCCACAUCGACGGGGAGGUUUGGCACCUCGAUGUCGGCUCAUCGCAUCCUGGGGCUGAAGUAGGUCCCAAGGGUUGGGCUGUUCGCCCAUUAAAGCGGUACGCGAGCUGGGUUCAGAACGUCGUGAGACAGUUCGGUCCCUAUCUGUCGCGGGCGUAGGAAAUUUGAGAGGGGCUGUCCUUAGUACGAGAGGACCGGGAUGGACGCACCGCUGGUGUACCAGUUGUUCCGCCAGGAGCAUCGCUGGGUAGCCAAGUGCGGGAGGGAUAAGCGCUGAAAGCAUCUAAGCGCGAAGCCCGCCUCAAGAUGAGAUUUCCCAAUUMGUAAGACCCCUUGGAGAACACGAGGUUGAUAGGCUCGGGGUGUAAGCACRGCAAYGUGUGYAGCUGACGAGUACUAAUCGGUCGAGGGCUUAUCCUAA
This 3059-nucleotide ribosomal RNA is filed under the name Cohnella sp. AR92. Its description in RNAcentral is "23S ribosomal RNA". It matches the Rfam family "Bacterial large subunit ribosomal RNA". Lineage: Bacteria; Bacillati; Bacillota; Bacilli; Caryophanales; Paenibacillaceae. The record is from RNAcentral.